CGCUACGGACUUAAUUUUUGAGCCUUAGUAGAGAAAUCUACUAAGUGACUGUUUUCACAUUCAGGGAAACCUAAGGUUUGAGAUAUUAGGUAAUCCUGAGCCAAAUUUCAAUUAUGAAAUAGGUGCAGAGACUCAAAGGAAACUAUCCUAACGAAAAGUUUUUUCUCUAUUUUUUAUUAUGAGUAGUUAAGUGCAUAAUACAAAAUAUAUUCAAACUAAUAAAAACAUUUGAAUAAAAUAUUUAUAUUAGUUUUUAAAUGACUUUUAAUAAACGAGGAUAAAGAUAGAGUCCUUUUUUACAAUCUAUUAUAAUUUUUCUUUAUAGAUAGUUGUAAAAAGAAAAUCCGCUGGCUUUAAUAGACCUUGAGGGUUCAAGUCCCUCUACCCCCA
This 390-nucleotide non-coding RNA is filed under the name Lejeunea catinulifera. Its description in RNAcentral is "partial tRNA-Leu". The stretch from base 3 to 313 matches the Rfam family "Group I catalytic intron". From Rfam's summary of the family: Group I catalytic introns are large self-splicing ribozymes. They catalyse their own excision from mRNA, tRNA and rRNA precursors in a wide range of organisms. The record is from RNAcentral. Lineage: Eukaryota; Viridiplantae; Streptophyta; Jungermanniopsida; Porellales; Lejeuneaceae.